AACAGGUCUCUAAAAUGUCAAAGGGCCCACCACUUUUGUUGCGGGAUAUAGAGGGAGGGAAUUAAGAGACCUAUUGUUAAACUCAACGGGUCUCUUAUGUGUGUAAGGGCCCACCAUGACCCUCACCUUUUCCUUUUCCUAUUUUUUUUUAAUUUUUAUUUUAUAUACCAGGGGUGGACCUUUAGAGAGGCUUCACUGGGCCUGGCCCUUGAUAACUUUUGGAAAAAAAAAAAUUAAGGCCCAAUUAAAAAAAAAAAAAAAGAAUAGAAAAGAAAAAAUCAGAUGCCUGGAACUUCUGGAAGGCUGGAACGAAGAAAAAAACAGAUGAACUGAUGAAACCCAUUAACCCAACUACUCCCAAGAAAAGAAACCUGGAAAAGAAAAAAUCUCACGAACUGACGAACCGAUUUCUGGUGCAGUGGUGCUCGUCCAGACGUCCGGUAGAUCUACCUCACCGAGUCAUCGUCCUCACCAGUCACCACAGUCACCAGCCGCCUAGCCUCACCGUAGUUGCCUCAGUCGUCGCUGACCGUUCUUCGUUGUCUCGCUGAUUCGUUGUUCGUUGCCUCAAGCCCUCGUAUCAGAUUUUAAUGUUAUAAUUGAUAAUAGGAAGGAAAAUUACCGGGUUGAUUGCAUUUUGCCUUAUUAUGAUGAUCAAGCAAUCUCCAACCUUUAAUAGCCCAAGCCAAGUAAGAUUUCUAAUGUAGAUUUUCAUUUAUAUGUAUGUAUUAAUCAAUUAAUGUAUGUUAUGUAUCAUGUAUGGGUUGAAAGGCAUGUUUUCAUAGAGUAAAUACAGUAUAGUCAUAUAGACGUGUAUAGUUGUUUGUCAGUUUAAAGCUUGAUUGCUGAAUAUUUUUACACUAAUACGGGCUGUGUAAGCUUGAUUAAUGAUAGAAAUCCUAGUUGAAUUUCCUUGAAGACAUAUAUUUUGCUUCUUUAAUUUUUUGGUAAUAUUUAUUAUAUUUAGCUAUAUUCUUAUACUCCUUGGUAUUUAUAAUAUAAUCUCACAUUGGAUUUUUAAGUAAUUUUCAUAUGCUUAUGUUAUUAUAUUCUUGUUUUAGACGUACACUUAUACUAGACAUUAUUGGCCCCCGAAAGAAAAGGUUUCAAGAUCCGCUACUGUUAUAUACCUCUUCCCUUAUUCAUUAUACAGUUCAUUAUUAUUCAUAUGCUCCUCUCUUUCCUCAUUUCCCCUCAUAUGCCCCUCUCUCUUUCACCCUCAUCACUUGACUCUCCUCUCAUCUCAUUUCUCGUUCUUCUUUCACCCAUAUCAAUUGAACCGCCGCUAACUCCUCCUCAUUAAGUAAUCGAUGCAGAAUUUAUAUUAAAUGUUGAUUAAUUGCUUUGAUAGUCUUGUUGUUCAAGCACAACAAUUGAUAACACGUUUAUAUAUUCAUUUUAUAUGUUAUAUUUGCGGGUUUUUAUCAUGUUUUCUACAUACUUUUAAUCUUUUAGAGCUAUUAUUCUUUAUAUUUCGAUAUUGCUCUCCUUGGUUUGUUUUAUUUUGAUUUUUGUAGGAAUUGGGCUAGAUUUGCUAGAGGUUUGCUUUGAUCGUGAUUCGACUUGUUAAAGGGAGAAAUUUACAUACAAUAAUGGACAUGGCAGCCGCCUCCACGGCUUGCCUGUGGGCGUACAACUCUCUCCACGGCCAUCCUGUGGCCAACUCGUUUUCAUAUGGCAAAGAGCAGCUACGGCAGCCUUCUCCACGGCCUGCCUGUGGUCGAACACGGCUCUCCACAGCCUACCCGUGGUGGCUCCUAAUUGCUGCGUUUUAGGCCCUUAAUUAUGUUAAUUUAGAGUCCUAAGCCCACUAAAAUUCCUAGGAUAUAUAUAGACUAAUAACAAGAUAGAAAAGGGAGACUUUUAUCAUCACAAUUAUUCCAAUUAAUACGUUGUUUUUUUCCUUUCUUCUUGUUCUUCCAACUUUGUUCCAUUGAAGAUUAAAUCAAGUUCUCCAUUAAUUCAAAAAGAUCGGCUCGUAGUCUGGGAUUACGAUAAUGUAUAUAAGAAAAGAGUUUAUACAAAUAUUCACUCUUGCUUGCUCAACACUAUGAGGUUAAUCUUAAUGUAUUAGCUGCCUCAAUGUAGACACUUCCUCUGGUACAGUGGCCUUCGAUAAUAUGAGGUCCAAGAAGUUGGCAGAUGUUGUAUGUCUUAGAUAUUAACUUAGAGAAGAAACAAGGAGAGAUAAUUACUAGAGGUCAUAAAAACUUUGAGCUUAUGCUCCCAGUUUUUUAAAGCGGACCCCUAUACAUAUUCAACUGAAAAUAUUGACGAAAUUAGAGACUUGUGGGCUAAGUAUGUUUUAGAGCUUGAACAAGAUGAUGUUAAUGAAGGAAAUGAAGAUGGUAUAGACAUUGCGUGAGUUUAGUUUAUCCAUUACUUUUGGGAAAAGUAUUGCGAUUUUUAGAAUUUUUUGUAAUGGCUCCAUUGCAAGAAUGCUUCCUCUUAUGUUCUCGAACCCUUCAUUCAAUGCCAUCAAGAACUGAAUGAGUUUGUUCAGUGACUCUGCAUCAGCCAACUUCUUCAUCAUGUUGCAUGUGCAUUUGCUCAUUGCUCCACAUGUACACUCUGGUAUUCCUUCAAUAGAAGAAAUAUGAUCUCAUAAAUUCUUGAGCUUGCAAUAAAAAUUGCCAACUGCUUGAUUCUCUUGCUUCAAGUCACUCAGCUCUUUCUUAAGUUGAUAGAGCAGAGGUGCAUUAGUCUGACCAUAUCUCUCCUUGACUUCAUCCCAUAACUCCUUGGAAGUUUCCAAGUAAAUGAGGCUUUCAGCCAAGUUUGUAGUCAUUGAAGCUAAGAUCCAUCCUCUUACUGCAUUAUCGUUCCUGUACCACUUCCCAUAAUCUGCAUCACCUGGGUUUGGCCUCCUCAACUUACCAUCAAUGUAUCCCAGCUUGUUCCUCAAACCCAAAGCCAUUCUUAUGCUUCUGGUCCAGUUUAGGUAGUUCUCACCAUUAAAAAUGAUGAUUCCCAAUUGCUGAUUAGAACUAUUAUGGUCAGAGUUGGCCAUAUAGUAGGGAUCUGCGUAAGCAUUUCCAGUCUGAUUUGCACCAGAUUCAUUUGUUUCUGGCAUCUUUGAACUUCAAAGAUUGAAACUUUCGGAUUGUUAUGAUGAUUUUACUUGAUUUUGGGCGUUUUCUGCUCUGAUACUUGAUUUUGCGUCCAUAUAUAAAAUGCAACAAACAAUUGGCAACAA
Molecule: long non-coding RNA, 3196 nt
Organism: Chenopodium quinoa (quinoa)
Lineage: Eukaryota; Viridiplantae; Streptophyta; Magnoliopsida; Caryophyllales; Amaranthaceae
Exons: 5
Source: RefSeq, a predicted model, not a curated record